RNAcentral lists this non-coding RNA (105 nucleotides) under Trichobilharzia regenti. RNAcentral's name for it is "Eukaryotic large subunit ribosomal RNA". It matches the Rfam family "Eukaryotic large subunit ribosomal RNA", at positions 2200 to 2310 of the family's 3401-position model. Lineage: Eukaryota; Metazoa; Platyhelminthes; Trematoda; Strigeidida; Schistosomatidae. The record is from Rfam by way of RNAcentral.
UCCAAGUGCUCUGAAUGUCAAAGUGAAGAAAUUCAAUCAAGCGUGGGUAAACGGCGAGGGUAACUAUGACACACCGUCGAAAAAUUAGUUCAUCCUUCUAAUGAA